Molecule: ribosomal RNA, 484 nt
Filed under: uncultured bacterium
Lineage: Bacteria
Description: partial 16S ribosomal RNA
Rfam family: Bacterial small subunit ribosomal RNA
Source: RNAcentral
AUUGAACGCUGGCGGCAGGCCUAACACAUGCAAGUCGAGCGGAUGAAGGGAGCUUGCUCCUGGAUUCAGCGGCGGACGGGUGAGUAAUGCCUAGGAAUCUGCCUGGUAGUGGGGGAUAACGUCCGGAAACGGGCGCUAAUACCGCAUACGUCCUGAGGGAGAAAGUGGGGGAUCUUCGGACCUCACGCUAUCAGAUGAGCCUAGGUCGGAUUAGCUAGUUGGUGGGAUAAAGGCCUACCAAGGCGACGAUCCGUAACUGGUCUGAGAGGAUGAUCAGUCACACUGGAACUGAGACACGGUCCAGACUCCUACGGGAGGCAGCAGUGGGGAAUAUUGGACAAUGGGCGAAAGCCUGAUCCAGCCAUGCCGCGUGUGUGAAGAAGGUCUUCGGAUUGUAAAGGACUUUAAGUUGGGAGGAAGGGCAGUAAGUUAAUACCUUGCUGUUUUGACGUUACCAACAGAAUAAGCACCGGCUAACUUCGUG